Molecule: long non-coding RNA, 939 nt
Filed under: Phoenix dactylifera (date palm)
Lineage: Eukaryota; Viridiplantae; Streptophyta; Magnoliopsida; Arecales; Arecaceae
Description: long non-coding RNA (PDAC_LNC016757)
Source: RNAcentral
AACAAUAUACGUGACAUGUCCUCUUUCAGAAAACCAGUAGUGAACAAGCUCCCUCCACUACUGAGGGUAUACAUCAGGAGGAGAAACACGAGCAACCUCCUCCUCUGUCAUACCCUCGCGCUUGAAGUCCGUCUUCAAUUUUGCUUUAUAUUCUUUUCAUUUGCGGUUGAGGGACUUUAGCACCCAAUCAUGGCUCUCUGGAGGGAGUACAAACUUACUGAUAGACAAUUUAAAAGACCACGCAAUAGCACGUAUCUGGUAGGAUAGUAAUUACGGGUAUCGAUCCACAGAGGUUGGGGUACAGUUGUUUUCUUAAAAAUAAAAAAUAUUUAAAAGAAAAAGUUUGUGAAGAAAAUUAAACUAAGAAAUUUAAUAAAAAAUACAAUUAAAAUGUUAUCAGUUUGAGGAAAUCUAGGACAAGGAAUUCACCACUAACAUCGGAACAAGGAUUAAUUGUAUUUUAAUUUAUUCUUGGAUUAACAUGCAAAAUGGCUACAAGCCAAAUAAGCAUUUAAAUAAAAAUCUCACAAAAGUAAUUUAAGAACAUCCAUCUUCGGUUGGCAUGAAAUGUCUACCCUAAACUAAUGUGGCAAGAUACUGCAUCUUCCCUAAGCAUGGGUAAUCUUCAAUUAACUUAGUGAUCAUGAAGAACAGUUGUAUAAACGUCAUAUUUAAAAUCACAGAAAUUAAAUAUGAGAUAAAAGAGGAUAUCCAUUAAAAACAAUAAGUUCAUACAACUCCAAAAAUAUAAAAUUAAAUACAUAAAAUCCGUGUCCCUUUAUUAGGGCUGCAUCCGGCCCUAGAGAGGAGAUCAGCCUUCCAUGGAGUCGUGGGCGACAGCAGCAGUGGCACAGCAGCGGGCUCCCAUUUCUUCUUUUCUUCCUCCCUUCACUGGAUCUCUCCUUCCUUCUCUAGCAAUUCAUUAUUUUUUCUUUUGAG